This 254-nucleotide ribosomal RNA is filed under the name uncultured bacterium. RNAcentral describes it as "partial 16S ribosomal RNA". It matches the Rfam family "Bacterial small subunit ribosomal RNA", at positions 524 to 776 of the family's 1533-position model. The record is from RNAcentral.
AACGUAGGAGACAAACGUUAUCCGGAGUUACUGGGCGUAAAGGGCGUGUAGGUGGUUUUGUAAGUCUGGCGUGAAAUUUUUCGGCUUAACCGGGAAAGGUCGUCGGAUACUGCAGGACUAGAGGACGGUAGAGGCGUGUGGAAUUCCGGGUGUAGUGGUGAAAUGCGUAGAGACUCCGGAGGAACACCAGUGGCGAAGGCGACACGCUGGGCCGUACCUGACACUGAUGCGCGACAGCAUGGGGAGCAAACAGG